RNA transcript from Scylla paramamosain (green mud crab), 3673 nucleotides. RefSeq lists it as uncharacterized. Lineage: Eukaryota; Metazoa; Arthropoda; Malacostraca; Decapoda; Portunidae. The record is from RefSeq and is a predicted model, not a curated record. The transcript has 9 exons.
UGUGUUGUGGAAGUGUGAAGACGUGUGUGCUGUGCUGCCUCGCGUGUACUGCUGUGUGUUGUUCUAUGUGUGUGUGUGUGUGUGUGCGUGUGUGUGUGUGACUCUGGAAACACUGGCCAUGCGCUGGAGUACAGAAGACGUGGGUAGUGUUGUGUUGUGUUAGCUAAGGCGGGAACACAGUAGGAGUCAAGGGACAGCCUGUGGGAGUGUUUGCUUCCGUGCAUCGACCAGGAGGAGUUAAAAUCCCCGAACUUCCUGGAUGUUCACAGUAUUCCUUCAGUUCACGCUGCGGAAAAAUGCAACUUGAAGCCCACCACCUGAAGGCCGCUGAACGCCCUGACCAGAGCGGCAGUUGUGUGAAGUACUGCCGCCCCGCCGCCGCUGUCUGGGAGUGUGCUGCCUUUUGGAUCAAAGUAAGCCGAGGGUCAUUAUCCACUCAUCUACCUGUACAUUAGCGGCGCCAGACAAGCCGAUCAAGAUAUAUAGUUUGGAAGGCCGCCAGCCAGCGCCCACCAGCGGCCCCAGUGCCCCUUGUGCCUUCACUUGCGGCGUCCCCUCUCCCCUAUCCUCCUCAAAGUCCUUCAGCAUGUCAGUGCCGCCGAAGUCCCGAGUGGCUUCGAGACAAGGAAGAGAAGCCACGCGACUCACUUCAGCCAGUCAGUCAGUGGUCAGUGGCGUCAGCUUCGUUGUGGUGUACGUGUGAGUCUUCUGUGUUUUCUUGGACGCUUAUUUGGGCUCUAGGUGAACCAAGAUUCUCCCAAAGCUUGUCCACAGUGGUCAGCAGCUGUGACACAAGGAGCAGCUGUCUCAGCGGAGAGACGGUGGACGGCGGAUGAAUACUUCGGCUCCCGCGCCUUCUUCCGCAUCAUGUCCGACCCGCCGAUCCUGGUGGUGGGCGGCGUGCGUCAGAGGAGUUGAAAAAUGUGAGAGAAGACACAGUAUGUUGAGGGAAGGCAGCUGCACUAGUGACAGCAGCAGCAGAGCCCCACCACUGCUGCUGCUCCUCUCCUCUUCCCAGCACAGCAGCACACAGGACACAUUUCCAUCAUCUUUAAAUCCCGGACACUUGUGCCUUGGUGAUAAUCUCACAGCAGCAAACCCUACAUUGCUCAGGUCAACUUCCAGCUAGAAUCAUAAUAUCUGGAGUUAUUUUUCCACAAAGAAGGAUUCAAAAUAUCCCCCCCAAAAAAUAAGAUAUUUUUAGAAAUGAAAAUCCACUCGAAUUUUCUGCCUGAAGCUCUCGUUAAAAUGACUCCCUCUUGAAUCUUGUGUCCGACUCCAACUGUGUCCAAGAGAAUGGAUCUCCAGUUUGUAGUGAGACUUCCGAGCCGCCCAGACCUGUGAAGGCGAGCAGUCUGUCAGAUAAUGAGAGUAGACAACAUAAGCAACAUAAUGAGAGACAAAGUCACAAUAAUAGAGAUAAAAUGAAGGCACUCAAGUAUUAAUGAGAAAACAAAACAGAAUAAUAAGCAAAGUAAAAUAAUGAGACAAUAAGGCCAGUCAACAAAUAAUAGUGAAUUUAUUGUAGGAAGGGUCUGCUGUACUACUUAAUGACCAUUCAAGUCUACUUGUUAAAGAUGUGUUUACACUUUGAAGUGUCAUUUUCUUGUACUAUGAUACAUUUUUAACUAUUUUCUUCCACCUGCCUUAAUUAACAUUGAGUAGAGUCUCACUAAUACAACUUGAAUAUUACUCAGCCGGCAGUCUUUGCCAUGGUGGAGUGUGACACUGAAUCAGUACUGACAUUUUAUCAUUUACAUUUCAUUACUUUGAUUACUCAACAAAAUACUGCAUUGUUUUUUGUAACCUGCUGACUGGUGAAAGGACAACGUGUGCUCCUCAACACUUGGUUCUUGCCACGUGCCGCAGCAGACUGACAGCUUCCAGUGGGCCUGUCUGAGGGGCGUGACCUCCGCCGCAUUGCUUCAGCAGCCUUCAAGUCCCGGCAAUGAAACGGUUCGUGUGAGGAAGACUGCUUCUGGUGCUACAGGUGGAAAUUGUUACUAGUGUCGUGGUGGCAGCACGGGCCUCGGCACUCCCUGGCACCACGGCAGGUGUCAGUGAGGCAGGCAGGUGUUGGUUCAAGUCCUGGCAGUGUCACUUCGCUGCUGUAUUGUUUGGUGCAGCGGAUGAUGCUACGUUUUUCAUCACUUAGUGUAGAGUCUAUUUUUGCUUGACGUUAUUUGUGUUGGUAAGGCAUUUCCACUAUAUAGUGGUAGAUAUUCUGGGAAAUAAGGAAUUAGCAAUACUAAGACAUGCUUGAACAACACUCACCAGUGUGGAAGACUUGUCAGGCAGUGGCUGUAGUGGCUUCACUUGAACCACGACAAUGUUCUCCUCAACCCUUGGAAAGAGAACAAUUCAUCUGAAAUGGAGAUACAAAGAUAUUGGGGAAAAUUUAAGAGAGAGACGCUGCAAAGUGUAGCUGACAGUGUGCGUGUCGUCAUCAAGAGGAGGGGCUCUAAAAUGAAACAGUAGGACACUCGUGAAGACAUUCAUACUAUCUUUUCUCAAGGGAAGUGUGUGUCGUGUGUGUUAACAACGUCAGGCGCGGACAUUUUUUGCAUCAAGGGUGAUGUACGAUCCGGACAUGAAAAAAGUUUUUUUUCUUUUAUAAUUUUCUAAUUUUUUUCCGCUUCUUUUGAUAUACGAGUAUGUAACGUUUUGAUAAGAACUAAAAAAAUCCCCUUAUGUAAAGAGGUCUUCUGUUAUGAAAUUCCCACGGUUUCGCCCGCUGCGAGACAUGUCACACAAGUUUUUUUUACAUUUUUUUUUCUCUUUUCAUAUAUUUUUCUGACAUACCCGUUCUUCUUCACUCUCCCAUAAAUAUCUACGGUUCUCUUGCUGCAUACAAUAUUAGAAAGCACGAAAUUCUAGGUCUAACUAUUUUCUCAAAUUGAUAUACGAAAAAAAAAUCAUAUAAUUAUUUUUUUUUUCGUAAAUCUAGCAAAUAGUUAAUGUAUCUGCAUUAGAUAUCUUUUGCAUUAAUAUUUUAUUUAUUUUCAAACAAUUAAACACUGGUUUUUACUUAGAAAUAUGGCGAAAUAUAACAAAAAUUGUUUUCACCCGCCUUCUCCCCUCCCACCCGGUAAUUAAGGGUGAAAUCAUGAAUAGCUUUAGGCCUUAUACACAAAACCAAUCGGAGUAACUAAAACUAUGUCUGCUUUUUCAACAUAUUCUGAUGUAUAUAUCGCGUGAAUUUCAAGUCCCUGGCUGCAAUAGGUGAAUUAGUCACCCCUUAAACUUUAUGACAUAAUAUCUCAAAAUGGCGGAUUUUAGCAUAUAAAAAUGAUCUGCUCCGUUUUUAUUGGUGUUACAGACAGAUGGGCUAUUGCGGCUUAUCAAACUGUGAUAGGCGAAUAAAGUCUGCUGUCGUCAUUUUUGUUUGGAGUUGAUUUUGAUUUUUGACAAAUAUUUCAGUUUUUUUUUUACUUUUCAUCGAAAAAAAAUCGUACAAUAAAAGAAAAAAGAUAGCAGACUUUGUUCUCCUAUCCUUCCUGAUCAAAAUACUUUUUAAAUAAAUGAGGGAGGAGAUACGAGUUGAACACAGGCAAUUUAACAAGGGAUUAGCGAUCCUUCAACCACCCUCAAGUGUAUGAAUAAAGGUGAUUAGUUACUUUGAUGUGGAAAGACUGUAAUUUGUAAAGAUGAGAAUAAAUGAGAAUAAAUUAUU